This 300-nucleotide ribosomal RNA is filed under the name uncultured Bacillus sp. RNAcentral describes it as "partial 16S ribosomal RNA". It matches the Rfam family "Bacterial small subunit ribosomal RNA", at positions 496 to 795 of the family's 1533-position model. The record is from RNAcentral. Lineage: Bacteria; Bacillati; Bacillota; Bacilli; Caryophanales; Bacillaceae.
GAGCACUACGGGGCGUGUGGAGCGGUAAUACGUGGGGGGCGAGGGGUGUCCGGAGUUAUUGGGGCGAAAGAGCGUGUAGGCGGCCAGGCAGGUCAGCUGUGAAAACGCGAGGCUCAACCGCGAGACGUCGGUUGAAACCGUCUGGCUAGAGUGCGGAAGAGGAGAGUGGAAUUCCCGGUGUAGCGGUGAAAUGCGCAGAUAUCGGGAAGAACACCCGUGGCGAAGGCGGCUCUCUGGGACGGUACUGACGCUGAGACGCGAAAGCGUGGGGAGCGAACAGGAUUAGAUACCCUUGUAGUC